Molecule: ribosomal RNA, 671 nt
Filed under: uncultured rumen bacterium
Lineage: Bacteria
Description: bacterial SSU rRNA
Rfam family: Bacterial small subunit ribosomal RNA
Source: RNAcentral
GCUUCUGAAGAAUCAUUUGAAGUACUUAGUGGCGGACGGGUGAGUAACGCGUGGGUAACCUGCCUCACACAGGGGGAUAACAGUUGGAAACGACUGUUAAUACCGCAUAAGCGCACAGUAUCGCAUGAUACAGUGUGAAAAACUCCGGUGGUGUGAGAUGGACCCGCGUCUGAUUAGCUAGUUGGCGAGGUAACGGCCCACCAAGGCGACGAUCAGUAGCCGGCCUGAGAGGGUAAACGGCCACAUUGGGACUGAGACACGGCCCAAACUCCUACGGGAGGCAGCAGUGGGGAAUAUUGCACAAUGGGGGAAACCCUGAUGCAGCGACGCCGCGUGAGUUAUGAAGUAUUUCGGUACGUAAAACUCUAUCAGCAGGGAAGAAAAUGACGGUACCUGACUAAGAAGCACCGGCUAAAUACGUGCCAGCAGCCGCGGUAAUACGUAUGGUGCAAGCGUUAUCCGGAUUUACUGGGUGUAAAGGGUGCGUAGGUGGCAUGGCAAGUCAGAUGUGAAAUGCCGGGGCUCAACCCCGGAACUGCAUUUGAAACUGUCAAGCUAGAGUACAGGAGAGGAAAGCGGAAUUCCUAGUGUAGCGGUGAAAUGCGUAGAUAUUAGGAGGAACACCAGUGGCGAAGGCGGCUUUCUGGACUGACACUGACACUGAGGCACGA